RNAcentral lists this transfer RNA (77 nucleotides) under Gammaproteobacteria bacterium. RNAcentral's name for it is "tRNA-Arg". It matches the Rfam family "tRNA". From Rfam's summary of the family: Transfer RNA (tRNA) molecules are approximately 80 nucleotides in length. Their secondary structure includes four short double-helical elements and three loops (D, anti-codon, and T loops). Further hydrogen bonds mediate the characteristic L-shaped molecular structure. tRNAs have two regions of fundamental functional importance: the anti-codon, which is responsible for specific mRNA codon recognition, and the 3' end, to which the tRNAs corresponding amino acid is attached (by aminoacyl-tRNA synthetases). tRNAs cope with the degeneracy of the genetic code in two manners: having more than one tRNA (with a specific anti-codon) for a particular amino acid; and 'wobble' base-pairing, i.e. permitting non-standard base-pairing at the 3rd anti-codon position. Lineage: Bacteria; Pseudomonadati; Pseudomonadota; Gammaproteobacteria. The record is from RNAcentral.
GCUCCGGUAGUUCAGAUGGAUAGAACAGCCCCCUCCUAAGGGGCAGGUCGCAGGUUCAACUCCUGCCCGGGGCACCA